This 434-nucleotide ribosomal RNA is filed under the name uncultured bacterium. RNAcentral's name for it is "partial 16S ribosomal RNA". It matches the Rfam family "Bacterial small subunit ribosomal RNA", at positions 29 to 507 of the family's 1533-position model. The record is from RNAcentral.
AGCGAACGCUGGCGGCAGGCCUAACACAUGCAAGUCGAACGAACCUAUCGGGGUUAGUGGCGGACGGGUGAGUAACCCGUGGGAACGUUCCUUUAGGUUCGGAAUAACUCAGGGAAACUUGUGCUAAUACGGAAUGUGCGCUACGGGGGAAAGAUUUAUCGCCCUUAGAGCGGCCGGCGUCUGAUUAGCUAGUUGGUUGAGGUAAUGGCUCACCAAGGCGACGAUCAGUAGCUGGUCUGAGAGGAUGAUCAGCCACAUUGGGACUGGGACACGGCACAAACUCCUACGGGAGGCAGGAGUGGGGAAUCUUGCGCAAUGGGCGAAAGCCUGACGCAGCCAUGCCGCGUGAAUGAUGAAGGUCUUAGGAUUGUAAAAUUCUUUCACCGGGGACGAUAAUGACGGUACCCGGAGAAGAAGCCCCGGCUAACUUCGUG